Molecule: long non-coding RNA, 320 nt
Organism: Juglans regia (Persian walnut)
Lineage: Eukaryota; Viridiplantae; Streptophyta; Magnoliopsida; Fagales; Juglandaceae
Exons: 3
Source: RefSeq, a predicted model, not a curated record
AGAACAUCGCCCCAAGGACAAUGGCGGAGAUCCUCCGGUCAAUAAUAAUCCGAUUAUUAAUAUUAAUUUGUAUCUCACAGAUCAUCAUCAACAACCAAAAUCUGUUGACAAGAACGAUGCUAUAAAAGAAAACAACGUGAAACCGGCCAACAACUUGGACAAGAAGAUAGAUGAGUCUAGUUUCUGCUCCUGCUCCAUAUUAUAAAGAACUAUUUGCAACUACUGGUGGAUACGAUGCAGACAUGGCAGGAGAUAAAUGAGUUUCGCUGUUGUAGGGGCAGUAUUAAUAAGGCGUGAUAGAUGUUCAUUGAUCAACACAA